GCCUCCGUAGCUCAGUGGAUAGAGCAACGGUUUCCUAAACCGCAGGUCGUAGGUUCGAUUCCUCCCGGGGGCG
Molecule: transfer RNA, 73 nt
Filed under: Actinomycetota bacterium
Lineage: Bacteria; Bacillati; Actinomycetota
Description: tRNA-Arg
Rfam family: tRNA
About the family: Transfer RNA (tRNA) molecules are approximately 80 nucleotides in length. Their secondary structure includes four short double-helical elements and three loops (D, anti-codon, and T loops). Further hydrogen bonds mediate the characteristic L-shaped molecular structure. tRNAs have two regions of fundamental functional importance: the anti-codon, which is responsible for specific mRNA codon recognition, and the 3' end, to which the tRNAs corresponding amino acid is attached (by aminoacyl-tRNA synthetases). tRNAs cope with the degeneracy of the genetic code in two manners: having more than one tRNA (with a specific anti-codon) for a particular amino acid; and 'wobble' base-pairing, i.e. permitting non-standard base-pairing at the 3rd anti-codon position.
Source: RNAcentral